GAAUGCUGACAUAAGUAACGAUAAAGCGGGUGAAAAGCCCGCUCGCCGGAAGACCAAGGGUUCCUGUCCAACGUUAAUCGGGGCAGGGUGAGUCGACCCCUAAGGCGAGGCCGAAAGGCGUAGUCGAUGGGAAACAGGUUAAUAUUCCUGUACUUGGUGUUACUGCGAAGGGGGGACGGAGAAGGCUAUGUUGGCCGGGCGACGGUUGUCCCGGUUUAAGCGUGUAGGCUGGUUUUCCAGGCAAAUCCGGAAAAUCAAGGCUGAGGCGUGAUGACGAGGCACUACGGUGCUGAAGCGACAAAUGCCCUGCUUCCAGGAAAAGCCUCUAAGCAUCAGGUAACAUCAAAUCGUACCCCAAACCGACACAGGUGGUCAGGUAGAGAAUACCAAGGCGCUUGAGAGAACUCGGGUGAAGGAACUAGGCAAAAUGGUGCCGUAACUUCGGGAGAAGGCACGCUGAUAUGUAGGUGAAGCGACUUGCUCGUGGAGCUGAAAUCAGUCGAAGAUACCAGCUGGCUGCAACUGUUUAUUAAAAACACAGCACUGUGCAAACACGAAAGUGGACGUAUACGGUGUGACGCCUGCCCGGUGCCGGAAGGUUAAUUGAUGGGGUUAGCGGUAACGCGAAGCUCUUGAUCGAAGCCCCGGUAAACGGCGGCCGUAACUAUAACGGUCCUAAGGUAGCGAAAUUCCUUGUCGGGUAAGUUCCGACCUGCACGAAUGGCGUAAUGAUGGCCAGGCUGUCUCCACCCGAGACUCAGUGAAAUUGAACUCGCUGUGAAGAUGCAGUGUACCCGCGGCAAGACGGAAAGACCCCGUGAACCUUUACUAUAGCUUGACACUGAACAUUGAGCCUUGAUGUGUAGGAUAGGUGGGAGGCUUUGAAGUGUGGACGCCAGUCUGCAUGGAGCCGACCUUGAAAUACCACCCUUUAAUGUUUGAUGUUCUAACGUGGGCCCCUUACCGGGGUUGCGGACAGUGUCUGGUGGGUAGUUUGACUGGGGCGGUCUCCUCCUAAAGAGUAACGGAGGAGCACGAAGGUUGGCUAAUCCUGGUCGGACAUCAGGAGGUUAGUGCAAUGGCAUAAGCCAGCUUGACUGCGAGCGUGACGGCGCGAGCAGGUGCGAAAGCAGGUCAUAGUGAUCCGGUGGUUCUGAAUGGAAGGGCCAUCGCUCAACGGAUAAAAGGUACUCCGGGGAUAACAGGCUGAUACCGCCCAAGAGUUCAUAUCGACGGCGGUGUUUGGCACCUCGAUGUCGGCUCAUCACAUCCUGGGGCUGAAGUAGGUCCCAAGGGUAUGGCUGUUCGCCAUUUAAAGUGGUACGCGAGCUGGGUUUAGAACGUCGUGAGACAGUUCGGUCCCUAUCUGCCGUGGGCGCUGGAGAACUGAGGGGGGCUGCUCCUAGUACGAGAGGACCGGAGUGGACGCAUCACUGGUGUUCGGGUUGUCAUGCCAAUGGCACUGCCCGGUAGCUAAAUGCGGAAGAGAUAAGUGCUGAAAGCAUCUAAGCACGAAACUUGCCCCGAGAUGAGUUCUC
RNAcentral lists this ribosomal RNA (1538 nucleotides) under Escherichia coli. Its description in RNAcentral is "partial 23S ribosomal RNA". It matches the Rfam family "Bacterial large subunit ribosomal RNA", at positions 1292 to 2813 of the family's 2925-position model. Lineage: Bacteria; Pseudomonadati; Pseudomonadota; Gammaproteobacteria; Enterobacterales; Enterobacteriaceae. The record is from RNAcentral.